UUCACAAAAAUAGCCUCCCUAUAAUUUUCAGAUCCGUAGUUUGAAUUAAAAUUGAAAACACCUCAGAUUUAGUUCAUCUCCAUAGAAAACAAAAAAAAAUAGAGAAAAAAAUUCAAAAAACAACACUGUUUUAUUACCUUCUUUAGGUUAUUUUAUUUUCUAUAUUCCAGCUCUAGUUCAAUUUUCUAGUUCAUUUCAAAACCAAAAAUAGUUUGAAUUCUCUGUUCCUGUUAAAUGUUUGAGGUCUCAAAGUAUUUGGAAUCAUUUGGGGAUUACUGUUGGUUAAUCGGAGUCAACUGUGGCUUAAUUGUCUGGGUAUACUGACUUUUGGGGUCAUUCUUGAGUAAUUGGC
RNAcentral lists this long non-coding RNA (352 nucleotides) under Nicotiana benthamiana. RNAcentral describes it as "long non-coding RNA (NBEN_LNC020444)". The record is from RNAcentral. Lineage: Eukaryota; Viridiplantae; Streptophyta; Magnoliopsida; Solanales; Solanaceae.